UCAAGUUCUUAAAUUAGUCCUAUUCUGUUUUCGUCACUCAUUCUACAUUCGUCACAAUCGUCGAUGGCUUUCAAUGUAGAACGUGACGAAAGCAGAAUAGGACUAAUUUAAGAACUUGACGAAAAACUAAUGGCACGACUCAAGACGAUACCCUCAAAAAUGUAAUGUAAAAAAUCUUAAUUUUUUACUUACUUGAUGUAGGGAACGUGCUUUGGGGGCAGCUCACUGUUUAUUUGUGUCAAGUUUAACCCCUGGAGCGCCCCAGAAUUACCGUAGUAUGGAACUCCUAUACUAGUUACCAGCACACGUGUCUGUUUAGGGCGCUCCACGGGUUAAGUUUCCGAUUUAGGCCACUAGAUGCAGUGGCGUAUCGUGAACCAAUCUAGCUGUGGGCGAAGUCGCAUCUGAGAGGCCCUUUUCUUUCUAUGUGCCCCACCGAAGGGGCCUCACGCGAGACCCCUUGGGGCGCGAGGCCGUGGGCGAAGUAGAAUACGCGAACUGUAGAGGGCAGCACCGGCUUAGGCGUAAAAUGUCAAAGUUUGCGAUUUAGGCCGCAAGAUGGCCGACCCUAACUCGCACGAUCCCUACAUACAAGUGUGUUCUGUUACACUUUGACAAUUUGUCUGCAAUAUUAAACGUAAUUAUCUUCUUACUUAAGGCUGAUUUUCCAAUACUCCGUUUAACACUAUAGUUGAAUUUAGUGCUAUCCUUUUCUUUCAUAUGACAAAACAAAUAGAUAUAGGUAGAGAGGGGCAGAUAUUAUCUGAAGUUUAAAAAAACAGACUUGAUAAUUUGUCAUAAAUGUAUUUAUAGGUUGUCAUAUUAUUUGAUUUGACAGUUUUAUAGAAGUUAUCAAAAUGUUUAUUAUAUUAGGUAGAAGGAUUUUAAUAAAAUGCGAUAUUUCAUUUAUUGUCCAUAUUUAUGUUUUUUCGUGUGAUCUUGAUUUUGUUACAAAAUGUGCAGUUUUGAUGUUAUUAUAUACAGAUAAGCUUUCGUUGCAAUAAUGAUAAUUGGCAAAUUAUGUUUAAAAAUAACAUUAAUAAAAACAAAUUCACCAAUGGGCCAUUUUAUUUAAUGUUGUCUUCUACACUUUUUUUUUAAUUUGUGAAUUUUUAUGUUAUUUCUACUCAGAAUCACGACCUCUUUCUAUCCUAAUAGGAGAAAAAAAGUGUCCCAUGGUUUUUAUUUCCAUUCCGUUACCAUUUUUCAUAGACUUUUUAUGGCGGUCACGGAAUGGAAAGAUCGAAAAUUGUAUGGAAAUUUUGGGACACUUUUUUUGUCCUAUAGGAUCAAAAGAGCUCUGAUUCUGAGUAGAAAUAACAUAAAAAAAUCCAUAUUUGAAAAAAUGGCCCCAAUUCUUGUAGAUAAUUUCUGAUAGAAUUGAAUAAACACCGGCUUUAUUGAACCAGCCUGUAUAUUAAACAUUCAUAAAUAACUCUUUGAGCGUCAAGAACGCAUAUACAUGUUAUAGUGUACACUGUAAAUGAAACCUUAGUGCUUUCAAAUAAGGUUCACAUUAGUUCGCUUGCGGACAUGAUGUUGGCGUGUGAGUGACGUGCUAUUUUGCCAAUUAUCAUUCCUGCGACGCCCUUACGCUAACCUAACAGUUUUAAAUACUGCUUACAAAAAUAUGAUAAAUGCAUUCAGUACGUACUUUUAAAGGUAAAUAUGGGUCCAGUGCCUUCAAUGUGUAACUUUAUAAGGCGGUUUUCAGAAAAAAAUGGUACUAUUUACUUUUUUUCGAAAAACUAUCAACUUUUGGGUUAUUUAGACUCAGAAUCACGAGUACUAUUGAAAGAGACAAAGAAAAAAAGUGUCCCCAGUUUUUCAUACAAAUUUUGGGUGUCAGUUUUGUAACGAUCCAUACAAAAUGUAUGUGAAAAUACGUUACAAAACCGACAUUUUUUGGACACAUGUUUUUUGCCUCGUGAUACUGAGUGGAAAUAACCCAAAAGUUGAUGGAUUUUCGAAAAAAAGUAAAUGGUACACUUUUAAGUGAAAAUGCCUAUAAACACAAGUUUGCAUAGAUAAAUUGGUCGCUCCAAAUAGAUUAAUCAUUACUUAAAGAAUAGGAGGUAAAUUACUGUUUUUCCCACCACGGAACAAUGAUGUUCCGGACUUUGCGCGGAGCCGAAGCCAACACGUGGAGGCCCUUUUGACACUUAAUGAAAUGUAAGGGGUACAAAUUACUAUUAUUGGUAGUUUUAGGUAGGUAGGUGUAGUAUAACCCCCAUAUUCAUAAAACUUGCUAGCCUCUAUAUAUUGUAAAAAAACUACCCAAACGCAAAGAUAUUAAAAAAAAAAUUGUUAUCGGGUAAUAUGUACCUACUUUUUUUAUUGUAUGCCUUCACAAUUUAAAAUGGUUGAAUGUACCCAUACAUAUGUUACCUUUAAAAGCACCCGCUAUGAUGUUUAAUAUGGCAACGAAACCACUGCGCUACCGCGACCCGCUCACACACUUGUAUACAAUAUCAGUAUUAAAAAAAAAACAAGUCAAACUACUCGAUGUAUGUAUACACGUGAAGAAAAACAAAAUACUCUAUUUAGUUCCCAAAUAUUCCGAAAUCCAAGCACGACGUAAUAAAACUGAAAGUUAGCCCUGAGAUCUCGCUUCACUCGGUCGAUUAGGGAUCCCUUAUAUAAUGGUCAAGUGCGAGCGAAUCACGGACAGACGCGUGGUAACAUUAUUAAUAAAAUAAUAAUAAUUAAUAAUACUCAAGUUGUGAUGCUCGUGCAUUUAAUAAGACGUUUAAAUGCAGUCGUUUUAAUAAUAGAGAGUAAUAAAUAAAUUCAACAUAACAAUUAACCUAACAGUUUAUAUAAAUUAGUUUAAAGAAAAAUAUCUGGGAGACCGAGCUUUGCUCGGAAAACAUAUAAAAACUCGAAAACGCGCGUUUUCCCAGAGAUAAGACCUAGCUAGAUCGAUUUUUCGGCCCCGAAAACCCCCAUAUACCAAAUAUCAUCGAAAUCGUUAGAGCCGUUUCCCGAGAUCCCCGAAAUAUAAUGAAAAUUUAAAAACCCCGAUUUUUUUCUUUAAACUGAUUCACCUAUACAAAAUAAUAUUUGGAUACAUUAUUUCAAAGUCUAUCAAACUGAUUUUUUUGAAAAAAAUCUUUUCACAAAAAAAAUAUACCGAAAAUACUAUUUUUUAAAAAACUGCAUUUAGAAUUUUAAUCUUAUAUCAAUGAGUUUAAGGUACAAAUUUAAUAUUUAUCAAUCGGUCAGUGCAUUGCUACUAGUCUCACAACCGUUUGCACUCACAAGCAUAUUGCUAUCUCUAUCGAACUCUUUAAGUUAGAGUAGGACAGCAUGCAUAUGUUACUCGGAAUGGAGCAAGCUAAGUGAUGCCACGUUAUACAUUUUAGGCGACCACCAAGUACGGAGAAAUUCAUACGUUGAUUUAAGAGACAAGUAAAAUGAAGACUGUAAAUCGCCAUUUGCCUUCUACAUUUGUGACGUUUUCAACUAAGGCACAGAAUAAAUAAUAGUACUGCCGUACAGAAAGGAUACUUCCUACAAAACCGAAGUUUGACAGCGAUUCAGGGUCGAAUCAUGCUGUCUCUUUCUAAUAUAUGGCACUAUCCCUUUCGGCUAUUUAGGGUUGUCAAAAUUCAAGCCAUUAUCUUAUCUGUGGGCGUGCACGCAAAGGGACGUCAAGUUGUGUCAACCCUAAUAAUUGCUCGGAGCAAUGCUGAGCCGAGCGGAGCCGAGUUUGGCCGAAGUCAGGAGUUUCGCACCCCUGACUAAGGUACCAUAUUGUCGGUUGUCGAUAAGGUUGAUUUCAAAUUGAAGCUUUAUUGAAAUAGCUCCUUAUUGACAACCGACAAGUACCCUUUUGGUUAAGAAUGUCACAUUUGUUUUAUAUACGAUUGCCUAAUCUUUACGAAUUACACCUGGGGGCCUAGUCAAAAUGACAAUAGCACAUCGUCAAACGCUAAGCCUACCAUUUUUAGAAUAUAUUUAUCCAUAAAACAUUGGAACCUCGUACAUGUUGUCUAUUUUACUCAAACAGAAAUAUCAAAAUGACGGAUAGGCAUACAAUUAUGAUUAAUGCCAUUAAUAUUUGUGACUUAGGAUAAUUCAAUUUCUUGGUUCAAUGUGCAUUGCGUCUCAUUUUCUCAUUAAUCAAAAUGUGAGACGCAAUACACAUUGGACAAAGAAAUUGGAUAAGUAGAAUACCACCCUUAGUUAACUUCAUGUCGCCAAUGAUAAAUGUGUUCGGAGAUUACCAGUCUUUAAAUAUUACUUGUCUCUGCAAAGGGUCAAUGACCGAAACUCUCCAUACUCGGCGGACGAACUAUACUGCCACAUUAUAUUAUAUAUUAUACUUUGAAUCUAGCGAGAAACUUUAAAAUAAUACAUACAAACGUAUUCACAAUGAGUAGAGUAUUAGUUAUAUUCACAAUAUCAGUACUAUAAUAACAAUAGAGUUAGACCACAGUAAGUCUGCAACGAUUCUGACAGCACACGCAGUGCAAGUGUUAUUUAUACGUCAUAAUUUCAUAGAAGUUUGACGUUUAAAAACUUUGAAACAACACUUAAACUGCUGUGUGCUAUCAAAAUCGUUGCAGACUUAUCUUGGUCUAACUAUAAUAGCGCGACGCACUGUACCCCUCGUGUAAACCUUAUUCGAUACCGUGACGUGACGUACGCGUUUGCGUUAACCGUCAUUUUGUACGGGAUUUAGAGUUUCCAAAACGUCCCGCUUGGCGCGCUGCUCACAAUCCCAUACAAAAAUAGACACAACGCGAACGCACGUCACGCUGUCUAAUGAAAUUGACACUAGGGAUUCUGGUAAAAUGUCAGACCGACUGUAGGGACUGUCGAAAUUGUCAAAAUAGAUUAUUUGAGAUUCAUAAACUUAAUUUCAUCGAUCUAUAACAAGAGAUUUUGUAUUUUUGAUGAAACAGUUUCUUAAUAUGGAGUAAUAAUGCAAUGUUCUGCCGCCAGAGGCAGCACUAGCAGAAACCGUGAACCAUAGAGUAACUUAUAUAUACUAUGCCUUAACACAUUCAGUGCCGAAAACCCGACCAUCGGGUAUUUUAUGAUUUCGUUCCCAGGCCGGACGACCCGAUAGUCAUCAGCUUUAUAUGACGAAACUGUUAUGGCCUGGCGCAGAUGUCUUGUUUGGCUUGGUGGCAAUGAAUGUGUUGAACAGUUUUUUGGUAAGUUUAACAUUAAUUGUUACGAAUAAAUAUGACAUUGAUGCAUCGAGGCGGUUUGUUUACAGUAUGCGCUAGUGGCGCCCCCUACGCAGAGUUUUGCGUAAUAUUCCCUAUUCCCAUAUGGAGCGAAAAUAUAGCGUAGCGCUUUUCCGCAGUUAAAUUAUACCGUAAUUUUACAGAA
Molecule: long non-coding RNA, 5346 nt
Organism: Cydia splendana
Lineage: Eukaryota; Metazoa; Arthropoda; Insecta; Lepidoptera; Tortricidae
Exons: 2
Source: RefSeq, a predicted model, not a curated record